CAGGUCAGUCAGGUGCGCGCGCUUAACAGUGAGGAAAGUCCGUACACCGCAGAGCAGGAUGCCAGGUAACCCCUGGAUGGUCGUAAGAUCGUGGAUCGGGCCACAGAGACAUACCGCUCGCAAGUGCAAGGGUGAAAAGGUGGUGUAAGAGACCACCGGCGCUUUGGUAACAAACGCGGCCAGGCAACCCCCAUCCGGUGCAAGGUCAAACAGGAGAAAGAGCCUGCUCGGCUCACUCGAUCUCCGGGUAGACCGCAUGAGCAGGCUGGUGACAGUCUGCCUAGAUAGAUGCGCAUCCAAGACAGAAUACGGCUUACCGGCUGACCUGAGUG
Molecule: RNase P RNA, 332 nt
Filed under: Anaerolineaceae bacterium
Lineage: Bacteria; Bacillati; Chloroflexota; Anaerolineae; Anaerolineales; Anaerolineaceae
Also listed under: 1 other name
Description: RNase P RNA component class A
Rfam family: Bacterial RNase P class A
About the family: Ribonuclease P (RNase P) is a ubiquitous endoribonuclease, found in archaea, bacteria and eukarya as well as chloroplasts and mitochondria. Its best characterised activity is the generation of mature 5'-ends of tRNAs by cleaving the 5'-leader elements of precursor-tRNAs. Cellular RNase Ps are ribonucleoproteins.
Source: RNAcentral